This is a long non-coding RNA of Sceloporus undulatus (fence lizard), 1675 nucleotides long. RefSeq lists it as uncharacterized. The record is from RefSeq and is a predicted model, not a curated record. The transcript has 3 exons. Lineage: Eukaryota; Metazoa; Chordata; Lepidosauria; Squamata; Phrynosomatidae.
AUGGUCACCUAUAUUGCAAGUUCAUUGUUAUGCAGUUUAGACAAGAGUGUCAACGCCUCAAACUGCCUUUCCAGAACAGUCACAUCACUGCUGCCAUGCCAUUCAUCUGGCAACGAAGAGCACCUAAGGUGCUGAGGUGGCAAAAUCCUUUAGCAGGAAGAAGUUUGACCUGUUGCAUUGUGCCUAGUGCUAGCUUUUCUGGAGAAUGAUAUCUGGUUGAGUGUGCAGGUGGUAUCAGGCAGCUGGCAUAGGAAGCCAUUUUCCUACUGAGGAAUGAUCACUGGAUUGCUGCCAAGGACAGGGUGUUCCAGUGUCAAGACUAUGAAAACUCCUGGAGAGCUAUUAUGCUUAUGUGGGCUGAUCAGCCAAUAGAACAGUGAGGAAAGCAUAGUAACUGUUCAGCAGCAGAAAGGUGACAGUUACACUUGGUAUUAUUUUAAUUUUUUUAAAUCAAGUUUUAUUUUAUACAUUUCUGGAAAACAUAAGGUUCUAGUGGUCAGCUUGUAGUCAGUGCAAGCCAAAAAUCCUGAUUAUGGUCUUGGUCCAUUAGGCAUCCAAAAAGCCAUGAGAAGUGAGGCAGUUGAAGAGAGAGCAUUCUCAGUAGUGGUCCCCCAGUUAUGGAAUCUCACCCGUCUCUCCCAACCAGAUAUUCAUCUAGCACAAAGGUAAUUAUAAUUUUGGCCUCUAACCAAGAUAAUUUUAUUCUCACAGGCUUUAGAAUCCGAACACUGAAAUGCAUGUUCCCUCUAUUAACAUGUUUCUAGAUUUUAUUUUUCUGUGAACUUGCUUUAAAAAAAAAAAAAUCUGGAAGCAUCACAGAAAUGCAGUGUGUCAAUAAAUAUAAUUUAGCUUUGAAUAAAGAAACCUGCUCUUGCCCAAAGCUGUGCAUCCUAUAAUUAGAGAUGGGGAAACUUGCAGGCACUUUUUAUAUGUGUAUAAAAAAUACAGCUCCAAGAACCAUCAGCUGGAGCUUUCGUGCAGAAGAUAUACAUUUAGAAUUUGGAGCCUAGUAAUUAAUUUGAGUACCAGAGGUGAAUGGUUACAGUUCUUCUUCCCAAAAAGUGUAUACCAUAUGCUUUCUUAAUUUCAGUGGGAGAAUUUUUUUGUUUCUGUUAGUGACUGUUAGAGAAUUGAAAAUCAAAAGUCCUUGCAGAAUGAUGGCAAAUCAUCCAGAGAGCUACCUUCUGUCCAUCUUUACCUUGGAUAAAUAGACACCUUUUGCUCUGAGCAUCAUAAUGAUAGUAUCUAAAAUAUUUUAUUAGUGUGAGGCUAGGAAGAAGAAAUUCUGUUUUCACAAGCAGAGAAUGUAAACAUAGGGCUGCUGCCAUUUCAAAUUAAUUCCAAUGUUUUAAUGUGUUGCACGAGUUGCAGAGUAGUCCUUUUUCAUAUGUUAUUAAGUAUUCUAUAAUGACUAUGUAUAAGCAAAGGGGAUGCAUCAGAAUAGCAAGUGUUUGCAUUCCCCCUUCCAUUAUGCCACCAAUACACACUAAAUUCCACAUCUGAAAUCAACCAUAUGGGUAUAUUUGCAUAUGUUCAGGCAGCUCUAUAUCUUGUGUUCUUGGACACCUGGGAAACGUACCAGUAUUGAUUCAAGCAGAGCUUGGGCCAGUGGGCAGGCUGGCUGGGGCAAUGUAUGUUAAAUGUUUGAUGCAUAGGUGAAGAAAAAUGUGGCUCA